Molecule: long non-coding RNA, 617 nt
Filed under: Piliocolobus tephrosceles (Ugandan red Colobus)
Lineage: Eukaryota; Metazoa; Chordata; Mammalia; Primates; Cercopithecidae
Description: lncRNA (ENSPTEG00000018250.1)
Source: RNAcentral
GGACGCAGCGCGCACAGGGACGCAGCGCGCACGCAACCGCGUUUCCGGCGCUACCUGGCUGCUGUGCCCCGCAGCUUGUGGCGCUUGUGGACCGCGUGGGCCUGCGGGAGAUCGGUGCGGCUCCUUGGGGAAUUCUUGUUCUCUUUUCUGGACUGAGAAGAGAAGAAUGGAGAAGAGCCCCUUCCCAUUGUGAGUGGACAGUAAAUGGGUAUGGAGUAGCCAGAAGCUUCUGGAAACCAGAGUUCCUUUCCUCAGCUGAAAAGAACCCUAAGAGUAGACUGCCUGGGAUUGCGUGGGGGAUGGGAGGAUCACUGGACCUGUGGGCCAGAGACUUGGGUUUGAGUCCCAGCUCUGGCUUUGCUGAGGUGUGUGACUCUCAGAAAGUCAUCCAACCUCUGUGGGCCUUAUUGUCAGUGAUAGAACCUGUGGGGAAUGAUUACCUUUGAGUCCCAUCCUAUGACAAUAUGGUUUGUUUUUAAAGCCAGGUUAGCACUGACUUCUCUCUCGUGUUUUCAGAGUGCCUUUGCAUUGGUUUGGCUUUGGCUACACAGCACUGGUUGUUUCUGGUGGGAUCGUUGGCUAUGUAAAAACAGGUAUGGUUUUGUUGUUACUUAGCC